AGCUGGGUUGUGGGACUGUCCUCUCUCUCCGAAAAAACAACACUGACUGCUCCAACAAAGUGCAGGUCACAGGAAAACACAAACAAAUAUAAUUAAUUUUAGGCAGUUUUAUCAAUCAUAAUUUUGAAUGUGUUUGACAGAUUUGCCGGAUUUGUCAGUGUCCACUUCUCCUGCCACAGCAACAUCAGCUUCUCCUCCAGUUUCUCCUCCAGUGCGCUCAACAUCAGUCUCUCCUCCACAAACUCUCUCCGUCCCCCCAGUGCUUGUGAUUGUUCUGGGAGUUGUGCUCUUACUGCUCUUAGUGCCACUGCUUAUACUGAUUCAGCAGAACAGAGUGAUGAGGAGAGCUCUCUCUAAGAGGAGACACAGGAUGAAGACUGAGGCCGUUUAUGAGGAGAUUCAGCACAGAUCCACUAACAGACAGUCUCUUCACUCAGAGGGGUGAGUCUGUCGAAGUAAUCACCUUUAUAAUUAAUAUGAAAACAUUUUAUACUGUUGUUGUAAAUAGCCAAAAUUAUGAAUUUAUAGCUGAAGGUAUUUGUCUUUAUCUGUUUUUUUUUUUUUAUUACUGUGCUGACAAGUCUAAUGAUUCUACAUGUCUUUUUUGACUGUUAGAGUUAAAGAUAUGUUAAUCCUGUUAGGCUUCCUGCUUUUAACCACAGAAUUCAACAGUGAAAACCACAUCGCUGUGUUUGUGCAAGCUGCAGUCAGGGUCAUAGGAGAGCACACAGGUGUUUGUCUGUGGGGGAGGUUUCAACAAGAUAUCCUACUCAGCAUUUCUGAACUGUCUUAGUAAAGUAAAAGUUCACCCAAAAUAAAAAUACACACUAUCAGGCUAUCCAAGAUGUAAAUGCAUUUGUUUCUUCAUUGGAAAUGAUUUGAUGAACUUAGCGUUACUUCACUUCCCCGCCAUUGGAUCCUUUGCAGUGAAUGGGUGCCUUCAGAAUGAGAGUCUAUCCCUUGUUGUCCUCUCACAUCAAAAUCCACCACUAUGUUUGUUUAGAAGUCAAUAAUUUAUUGGUUUUCAUUUAUGGACAAAAUGGACCAGCAGGCUCCAGAAGAAUGUCAACACCGAUAGACUGAAUUGUGAGAAUUUUCCAUACUAAAACAAUCAUUAUAAAAUAAAUAUGAAAUAGGACAGAAAAUAUAACUUAGUCCUAGUUUAGCGAGAGUGAUGUUGUAUUUUUGGACAUAUUGUAUGAUUGAGA
This 1208-nucleotide long non-coding RNA is filed under the name Carassius auratus (goldfish). RNAcentral describes it as "lncRNA (ENSCARG00000000513.1)". The record is from RNAcentral. Lineage: Eukaryota; Metazoa; Chordata; Actinopteri; Cypriniformes; Cyprinidae.